RNAcentral lists this ribosomal RNA (498 nucleotides) under uncultured bacterium. RNAcentral describes it as "partial 16S ribosomal RNA". It matches the Rfam family "Bacterial small subunit ribosomal RNA", at positions 27 to 507 of the family's 1533-position model. The record is from RNAcentral.
GGACGAACGCUGGCGGCGUGCCUAAUACAUGCAAGUAGAACGCUGAAGAGAGGAGCUUGCUCUUCUUGGAUGAGUUGCGAACGGGUGAGUAACGCGUAGGUAACCUGCCUUGUAGCGGGGGAUAACUAUUGGAAACGAUAGCUAAUACCGCAUAACAAUGGAUGACACAUGUCAUUUAUUUGAAAGGGGCAAUUGCUCCACUACAAGAUGGACCUGCGUUGUAUUAGCUAGUAGGUGAGGUAAUGGCUCACCUAGGCGACGAUACAUAGCCGACCUGAGAGGGUGAUCGGCCACACUGGGACUGAGACACGGCCCAGACUCCUACGGGAGGCAGCAGUAGGGAAUCUUCGGCAAUGGGGGCAACCCUGACCGAGCAACGCCGCGUGAGUGAAGAAGGUUUUCGGAUCGUAAAGCUCUGUUGUAAGUCAAGAACGGGUGUGAGAGUGGAAAGUUCACACUGUGACGGUAGCUUACCAGAAAGGGACGGCUAACUACGUG